UAGGGAAUCUUGCGCAAUGGGCGAAAGCCCGACACAGCAACGCCGCGUGGGGGAUGAAGGCUCUCGGGUUGUAAACCCCUUUCAGCAGGGACGAAAUUGACGGUACCUGCAGAAGAAGCCCCGGCCAACUACGUGCCAGCAGCCGCGGUAAUACGUAGGGGGCGAGCGUUGUCCGGAUUCAUUGGGCGUAAAGAGCUCGUAGGCGGCUUGGCAAGUCGGAUGUGAAAACUCCAGGCUCAACCUGGAGCCGCCAUUCGAUACUGCCAUGGCUAGAGUCCGGUAGGGGAGUGUGGAAUUCCCGGUGUAGCGGUGAAAUGCGCAGAUAUCGGGAGGAACACCGAUGGCGAAGGCAGCACUCUGGGCCGGUACUGACGCUGAGGAGCGAAAGCGUGGGGAGCGAACAGGAUUAGAUACCCUGGUAGUCCACGCCGUAAACGUUGGGCACUAGGUGUGGGGCCUUAUCAACGGGUUCCGUGCCGCAGCUAACGCAAUAAGUGCCCCGCCUGGGGAGUGCGGCCGCAAGGCUAC
Molecule: ribosomal RNA, 528 nt
Filed under: uncultured Acidimicrobiales bacterium
Lineage: Bacteria; Bacillati; Actinomycetota; Acidimicrobiia; Acidimicrobiales
Description: bacterial SSU rRNA
Rfam family: Bacterial small subunit ribosomal RNA
Source: RNAcentral